AGUGAACGCUGGCGGUAGGCCUAACACAUGCAAGUCGAACGGCAGCACAGUAAGAGCUUGCUCUUACGGGUGGCGAGUGGCGGACGGGUGAGGAAUACAUCGGAAUCUACUUUUUCGUGGGGGAUAACGUAGGGAAACUUACGCUAAUACCGCAUACGACCUACGGGUGAAAGCAGGGGAUCUUCGGACCUUGCGCGAUUGAAUGAGCCGAUGUCGGAUUAGCUAGUUGGCGGGGUAAAGGCCCACCAAGGCGACGAUCCGUAGCUGGUCUGAGAGGAUGAUCCGCCACACUGGAACUGAGACACGGUCCAGACUCCUACGGGAGGCAGCAGUGGGGAAUAUUGGACAAUGGGCGCAAGCCUGAUACAGCCAUACCGCGUGGGUGAAGAAGGCCUUCGGGUUGUAAAGCCCUUUUGUUGGGAAAGAAAAGCAGCAGGUUAAUACCCCGCUGUUCUGACGGUACCCAAAGAAUAAGCACCGGCUAACUUCGUG
RNAcentral lists this ribosomal RNA (492 nucleotides) under uncultured bacterium. Its description in RNAcentral is "partial 16S ribosomal RNA". It matches the Rfam family "Bacterial small subunit ribosomal RNA", at positions 29 to 507 of the family's 1533-position model. The record is from RNAcentral.